This is an RNA transcript of Triticum dicoccoides, 1269 nucleotides long. RefSeq lists it as uncharacterized. Lineage: Eukaryota; Viridiplantae; Streptophyta; Magnoliopsida; Poales; Poaceae. The transcript is spliced from 6 exons. The record is from RefSeq and is a predicted model, not a curated record.
CACAACCCCCAGCCUCUCUCCACUCUCCUUUACCCUUUCCCAAAUCCACCACCGCGGUCCCCUCAUCCCCUCGCCCAAAUCCACCGCCGCUUCAUCAUUUCGAGGCGCGCUGCCAGAGGUUCGUCGGAGAUUGGGAAGGCAUUAUAGAAGUGGGAGGAGAGAACCCAACCCAAUCGGCGACCCAUGAUAGAGGGGCCUGAGCUCCGCGUGCGGUGACCACCAAGCGGAGGCAGAAGGCUGGCGUCCGGGGCCGCCGCUUCUCUGCCACCGCGUCCACGAAGCGAGGGUUUGAAUGGGAGGGACACCGCGCGUCUGUGCAGCUCGACUCCUAGCGGCGAAGUGUGAGAGCCAGAAGUGCCAUCUUCAGCGGUCGAGGAAUCGGGCCUCAAAUCACGGGGGGUGUGGGAGCAUGCUGAUUUCAGAGGGGCCGAGGUCAAACUAUGGCUGGCCGCCGGAGGCUGUCGCGCUCGUGCAGCUCAUAUUCUCUGCUAGCUUGGCGGGCCCCUUGUCUUCAAAAGGAAUGCUGGGUUUCUCGUAGUAACUGGCACAGUGGCAUGGUUAGUUAGAGGAUCCUCUUUUUUUCUUGAAUAAUCUGGGAAUCUGAGCAUCUCGGUAUUAGAAAGAGCUUACAGGAUAAUUUAUGGGGGAAAGGGGAUAAAAUCACAGCAAUGUCUCGGGCCUCACUAAAUUCUAAAGUCAAAGCAACAUUUUUGAGGUUUUGUGCACACGCCCAAGCAAGAAGGUUCAACACCCACUUUCAAAUGCUCAUGCCGGAAGAAACAAGGGGGAAAUACUGGAAAAAUAGUUGCAAUCAGGAUGAACAAGGCUUUUGUAAAAGAGAAGGCGUCUGAGAGGGCACAUCAAGAUAGAAGCUCACCCCUCAGGUCCAUGGCCACCAAAACGGGGGCAACAAUUGUGACAAUGGAAGAGAGGACAGAUGGAGAAGGAGAGGUCAAGGGGGAGGUUUGGGGGUCUGCGACUGGAAAGGGGAAGGAGGAUUUGGUGCGUCGGCGUGAGGCUACUGCUAAUGUCAGUAGGGGGAGCUGAAGUUACGAUUGUGAUAGACUCGCCCCUGGGGGCCAUGUGCGUGAGGGGGCCAUUUCUUUCCUUUUUGGGUUUGCCAGCUGGAUCUGGGAGAGGUCCACUACCAAUAUUAGGGUGUGUGCUCUGGACCGCUAGCCAGCCAACGGUUACUGGCUAGUCGCGUCCAUAAAAAAAUAUGCGUUUUCUUGAACCGUGGAAAAUAUUCAUAUCUCAUUCAGUUCGUCU